This 659-nucleotide ribosomal RNA is filed under the name Aspergillus niger. Its description in RNAcentral is "eukaryotic LSU rRNA". The stretch from base 171 to 324 matches the Rfam family "5.8S ribosomal RNA". The record is from RNAcentral. Lineage: Eukaryota; Fungi; Ascomycota; Eurotiomycetes; Eurotiales; Aspergillaceae.
UUGGGCCAACCUCCCAUCCGUGUCUAUUAUACCCUGUUGCUUCGGCGGGCCCGCCGCUUGUCGGCCGCCGGGGGGGCGCCUUUGCCCCCCGGGCCCGUGCCCGCCGGAGACCCCAACACGAACACUGUCUGAAAGCGUGCAGUCUGAGUUGAUUGAAUGCAAUCAGUUAAAACUUUCAACAAUGGAUCUCUUGGUUCCGGCAUCGAUGAAGAACGCAGCGAAAUGCGAUAACUAAUGUGAAUUGCAGAAUUCAGUGAAUCAUCGAGUCUUUGAACGCACAUUGCGCCCCCUGGUAUUCCGGGGGGCAUGCCUGUCCGAGCGUCAUUGCUGCCCUCAAGCCCGGCUUGUGUGUUGGGUCGCCGUCCCCCUCUCCGGGGGGACGGGCCCGAAAGGCAGCGGCGGCACCGCGUCCGAUCCUCGAGCGUAUGGGGCUUUGUCACAUGCUCUGUAGGAUUGGCCGGCGCCUGCCGACGUUUUCCAACCAUUUUUUCCAGGUUGACCUCGGAUCAGGUAGGGAUACCCGCUGAACUUAAGCAUAUCAAUAAGCGGGGAAAAAGAAAUAGCCAGCAGAUAUUUUAAUGAUCUUUAACUAUGAUCUGAAGUCAAGUGGGACUACCCGCUGAACUUAAGCAUAUCAAUAAGCGGAGGAAAAAGAAAUU